This 1334-nucleotide long non-coding RNA is filed under the name Callithrix jacchus (white-tufted-ear marmoset). Its description in RNAcentral is "lncRNA (ENSCJAG00000083368.1)". Lineage: Eukaryota; Metazoa; Chordata; Mammalia; Primates; Cebidae. The record is from RNAcentral.
GUUGCUGAUAGUAUUAAAUAAGAAGCUAUUUAUAAAAGCACUCAGAAGAAUGCCAGACACUUGCUAGAUACAUAAUACGUGGUGGUAUAUUAGUGUUAGUGCUACUAUUAAAACUCCUUAUGGAAUUUUCCAAGUCAUAAGUAUACUUUUCUCUUGCAGAUUAUCUGAGUAGGCUGAACCAUCAGUGAAAAAGAGGCCACGCAUCUCAAAAAUAGAACACCUAAGAGUAUGAAGCCAACGUGACACUCAGGACCUAAAGAAGAACAUAUAUUCUGCAGUUUUCUCCAUAAAACUGAUCACAUGGGAUUAUGGUCAAGAGUAUGUCAUACAGAGCUGUACUGAAACAUAUGUCCUGCUGCUUCCUAACUAGUUAUGUGAAACUGGCUUCACAAAGAAGCCUGAAAUUCAGAAUGCCUGAGGACCUGGCUGUGGUCACAGAGCUGGAGAGGGGUGUAUCUGACUCUGAAGACUUCACUCUCACUACAUUUCCUGGCCUGAGCACACGUCCUCAUGGGAAUGAUACAAUGGAUGUUUGGGGGAAUUUUUAAAAUUCCAUAUAAUUUGGAGGUACUAUUAUGAAAAUGUAAUUUAUCCCAAAUGACAUAUUUUUACAUUCAGGAGAAGAUAAUGAUGUUUUAAAAAAUCUGCAUGGAAGAGAAGGAAGUUGAUAAGAUACUUUUGUUUAAUCUGGGUUUCAUCUUGCUCAGAAUAGUUAUUUUAACUAUGUGGAAAUAGAGCCAGGAAUACUAUUUUAGCCAGGACCCAUUUUUGUCCAAAUACAUGGUAGGUGCAAAAAUGAAUAAAAUAAAUAUUCUUUCAAGGAUCCAAGACUCUCAAAUGUGCCACAGCAUCUGACCUUGGACAUGACACUUAGUAUAGUGAGUAGAUGCAAAGACUUGGAAACCAAAUAGGCAGGGGCUAGACCAGCAAGGAUUUAGAAGCCUACUACUAUUUAGUUGUCUUCAUAAGGAGAUAAGGUGCCGGGGACUGAUGAUACUGUUUCAUUUCUGUCCAGGAGAAAUGAUGACUUUAAUAUGUGUUUUAUGUACUUGAAGUUUGUUUGGUUGUGUUAACCAGCCAGGCACCAGGUGCUUUAACUAAAGCCUAAGAGGGUGUGGAAAAUGCUGGAGAUACUUUCAGUCAGGACACCCAGGUUCAAAUGUCAGUUCUGUCCUCAUCUAGAAAAAGGCCACAGUUCUUUUUCUCAUCUAUAAAAAAUAUAUUACUAUAAAAAUUCAGCACUGCCCUUGUCAUAGGGGAGGAUGUAAAGGUCAGCGAUUUCCCAGCCAUGAUUUCAGGACUUAACUACAAGUGACUGCAGUGUUCUCUACCCC